GACGAACGCUGGCGGCGUGCUUAACACAUGCAAGUCGAACGGAAAGGCCCUGCUUUUGUGGGGGGCUCGAGUGGCGAACGGGAGAGUAACACGUGAGUAACCUGCCCUUGACUGUGGGAUAACUUCAGGAAACUGGGGCUAAUACCGGAUAGGAGCUCCUGCUGCAUGGUGGGGGUUGGAAAGUUUCGGCGGUUGGGGAUGGACUCGCGGCUUAUCAGCUUGUUGGUGGGGUAGUGGCUUACCAAGGCUUUGACGGGUAGCGGGCCUGAGAGGGUGACCGGCCACAUUGGGAGUGAGAUACGGCCCAGACUCCUACGGGAGGCAGCAGUGGGGAAUAUUGCACAAUGGGCGCAAGCCUGAUGCAGCCAUGCCGCGUGUAUGAAGAAGGCCUUCGGGUUGUAAAGUACUUUCAGCGGGGAGGAAGGGAGUAAAGUUAAUACCUUUGCUCAUUGACGUUACCCGCAGAAGAAGCACCGGCUAACUCCGUG
RNAcentral lists this ribosomal RNA (488 nucleotides) under uncultured bacterium. RNAcentral's name for it is "partial 16S ribosomal RNA". It matches the Rfam family "Bacterial small subunit ribosomal RNA", at positions 28 to 507 of the family's 1533-position model. The record is from RNAcentral.